Molecule: long non-coding RNA, 711 nt
Filed under: Triticum aestivum (bread wheat)
Lineage: Eukaryota; Viridiplantae; Streptophyta; Magnoliopsida; Poales; Poaceae
Description: long non-coding RNA (TAES_LNC024624)
Source: RNAcentral
UUGUCCUCUGAUGCUCAGUGAGAUGGCCGGCGCUGGUGGUCAGAACCACAUCAAGGAGGAGUGGAAGCAAAGUAGCGGUCAGGUGAUGAUCCCCAUUCUUUCUGCUCGCCAUGUUCCCCCUGCUCCCCUGCUCGCCGUGUUGCAAAUGAAGGCAUGGACUAUGGCAGAAGGUUGUUGGGUUGCCAAUAUGAGGUACAUUUCAGAGGCUUGUAUGAUUUGGCUUCGAGCAAAUGUAAGGUUCCUGUCUUUCACACUGAGUACUUUUUUACAUCUUCAGGAUUUCAGGGCUUGCGAAUAUGUGAAGUGGAUAGAUCCAAGAUGGGAUGGCCGGGCAAAGACAAUCAUUUGUGAUCUGGCUAUGAAGAACAAACUGUUGCAGGAAGAACUUGAGAAGAAGGAGGCUGAGAAGCAUUGUGAUAGGGAGAAGAAGGUCAUUGCUAGGAUUAAUAAGGAGCAAAUGAUGUGCAUACAUAGGAUUUUGGUACUUGCCAUUAGUAUGUGUGUUGGCUUGUGUGUCAUUCUGUUACCAGUAGCAGGGAAGAAUUAGAAAGAGAUUGAGUAAAGAGAUGAGUUUGGUAAGAGGAAAUGAAAUUGUAUUUUGAACAUGAUCUAUGUUUAAAUGGCAAAGUAUGUGACUACCCUGUUAUUUGAAAUGUGGCUUAUGAGAAUUGAAUUUUCAGUUGCAUAUUACUCUGAAAUAUAAAACCUUGC